This 626-nucleotide ribosomal RNA is filed under the name Leucophellinus irpicoides. RNAcentral describes it as "partial small subunit ribosomal RNA". It matches the Rfam family "Bacterial small subunit ribosomal RNA", at positions 359 to 952 of the family's 1533-position model. The record is from RNAcentral. Lineage: Eukaryota; Fungi; Basidiomycota; Agaricomycetes; Hymenochaetales; Hymenochaetaceae.
AAAAUUAGUCAAUGCUCGCAAGAGUGAACUAGCUAACUGAAAUCAAUGGUGUGUCACCGUUGAUAACGUAAGGGAAAAUAAUGAUGCUACCUUACUAUGAGUGUCGUCAAAAUACUCGUGCCAGAAGACUCGGUAAGGCGAGAGACGCAAACGUUAGUCGUCCUAAACAGGCGUAAAGGGUUUGUAGGCAGCUUUAAGCAUCUAAUUUAAUUAUUACUAGUUCUUAGUACUGUACCUCCCCGCGCUGAAGCGUACCUCAUUUUUUGAGUGGGAUGUAUUGUAUAAAAGAAAUUAUUAGAAAGGAUCAUUUAAAGCUAGAAUCAAAAAGAGGUUAUAUUGAAAAAUGCUUAGAGUAAGGUCGAUAUCUAUAGAUACUAAGUAGAAUACUCACGGCGAAGGCUUUUCUCCAAUGAUGAUUGACGCUGAGAAACUAAGGUGAGGACAGAAAAAAGGAUUUGAGACCCUCGUAUCCCUCACUGUCAACGAUGAAUGGUAGUUGCUAAAGACAAACUUUAGAGGCGAUGUUAACACGUAAACCAUUCCGCCUUGUGAGUACGGCUGCAAAGUUGAAAACAAAAAAAUUAGUCGGUUUCGGAGCAAACGAAGUGAAGCAUGUUAUUUAAUGA